This 1650-nucleotide ribosomal RNA is filed under the name Triticum aestivum (bread wheat). RNAcentral describes it as "partial small subunit ribosomal RNA". Lineage: Eukaryota; Viridiplantae; Streptophyta; Magnoliopsida; Poales; Poaceae. The record is from RNAcentral.
CCGGAUCUCCCCAGUCCCAGCGACGCCCACCUCCCCCUGACCCCGCCUCCACCCGGCGUCGCCGCCCCCGCACCCUCCCACUCCCGCCCCACCGGCAAGUCAUGCGCCGCCAUGCCCACCCUUCCCUUUGACCGAUCUCCUCCUUCCUCUCCGUCGACACCGUGGGAGCACCCAUCCCGCUGCCCAUACCCUAACCGGUGACGCCGCCACCGCCACGCAGCCGCAGCCACGCCCCUGCAGGCGGCGCCGCCGCAGCCCCGCCCCCGCUGGCGGCGCAACCGCAGCCCCGACCCCAGCCGAUGACGCGCCACACCACAUGCCAGAGCACCUUGGGGAAGCCCGAUCCGGCGAGGAUCCUUCACCACCCUCCACUCUCCGGCGACCACCAGCCCGCGUGCGGAUGGGGUGCUAUCCUGCAGAUCGAGGAGGCGUCGAACUUCAGAUGGAGGAGGCCAGAACCUGCAUCUGGCCGCGCCAUGGUUGCGCGUCGCCGGCAUGCUCCGUCACGCUCGGCACCUCCUGAGCGUUGGAGUGAAGGUCGACUCGUAUGCACUCUGCAGUUCAAUUUCUACUGAUCCUGUAGCUCCUAAAUCUGUCGCGCACUUAUAUCGCAAGGUUCUUGCGUGUGUGUUUUGUCCUGCAGGGCAUUUUCUUCAGGGCAGUGGAGAGCACCCUCACCCUGAUCCGAUCUGCAGCAGCGUCCCCGAGUCCUCCCAAAGCAGCCCUGAGCCGUUCAAGUAUGCAGCCCCGGGCCGUUCAAAGACGGAGCUGCCGACCGUUCGUGAACACAACACCCCGAAUCCUGCUGCCCACCAUCCUGUAAAGGGAGACUUAUUGUGAAGACUUCAAGCUGAGUACAGAAGACUCGGUUAAUUUUUGCUCCCUUCUUGAAAUGAAGAGGGGAGUUGGUUCUCUUUUGAGGUUGCGACUCGAUUAAUCGAUUAAUUACAGCUUAUUUUCGACCUUCCUGUGCUAGUAGAUCUUUUCCCAAUUCUGAUCUUCUUUCGGUUGCUGUUUGGAUUGAUUCCCUCCGCUCUUCUUCGACCGCGCUCAUAAAUACGGCCUUGUAAUCUUGUGGAAAGGAGCAGUGCAGUGCAUGUGAGUACAUAUGGCCUGAAGCUGCUAUAAUUGUCCAAAAUCCGGUGUUUGCUGCUGCAAUCCAAGUGAAGUAUAUUUGGAAACAUGCCUGCCUCGAGUCUUCUUCUCUGUCCUGAACCAACAGUCCUCGAGGCAGGAUGUACUACUACCUGGACUCAUCUGCCCCGGAGGCACAACACGAACCAAGCCCCAUGUUUUUCAGUGACUGACUCAGUAGUCCUUGAUGGUCGAACAUCCGGCAGCUAGCCCGUACUGCACCACCAUAUCUUGCCAUCUUAUGAUCCCAGCAAAAUGUUGAAGUAAAACACACACCACCAGGAGGAGAGUAUAUGUCAAGGAAGGACUGGUGAAAUAGCAGGGCAGAGAUGCCACAGUAAUGCUGAGCCGAAGUGGUAGCAUGUAUGCGAGAAAACUCGUUUGUUUGGGUUGGGGAGCCAGCCGAGCCAGCGCACACUUGGUGGACAGUCUUAUCUGGUUCGUACGCCCGGCCGUGAUAUUGUGUCCGAAAAGAAGACUCAAAUGGGCACGUUCAACUACUGUGUCCCAACCCAU